Pelobates cultripes (western spadefoot toad) is the source of this 449-nucleotide non-coding RNA. NCBI's taxonomy places the organism in Eukaryota, Metazoa, Chordata, Amphibia, Anura, Pelobatidae. The record is from the annotation of a GenBank genome assembly.
CUCCAGUUAGAUGUGAUGGAUAGAUCAAACCAUACGUCCUUUAAAUUGGCAUAUCUUGCAAACGGGUUAGAUGGUUCUGAGACAUUUGAAGCCGACCACCAAGUUGUAUUCUUUGUAUCAUUAUCAUAAGCUUUUUGCCCUAGACAAGUUAAUUCUCCUACAGAAGUAUUAUACAUCAUUCCUUUCCUCGCUAUGCAAACAUAACCUAUGAUGGAGGUCUUCAAUCUCCACUCAGAUUUACCUCUAACACUCAUAUGAUAGUCGGCUUGUGUAGAUAUUAAUUGGUCAACUGCCUCAGAACCGGACAUUACCUCCUUUGCUUCCCAAGGCCAUUGGUCUCCCAUGUUAGUACCUCCACACACAUAGCAGUUGGUAACAUUAAGACUACCGGCAAUACUCUCGGCUAAAUCAAUGAACAAGUUUUUAGCAUUAUGGGGGAUCUUAUUAUC